AUACGGAGGGUGCAAGCGUUACUCGGAAUCACUGGGCGUAAAGCGCGCGCAGGCGGUUUGAUAAGUUGGAUGUGAAAUCCUAUGGCUCAACCAUAGAACUGCAUCCAAAACUGUCAAACUAGAGUCUGGGAGAGGAAGAUGGAAUUAGUUGUGUAGGGGUAAAAUCCGUAGAGAUAACUAGGAAUACCAAAAGCGAAGGCGAUCUUCUGGAACAGUACUGACGCUGAGGCGCGAAAGCGUGGGGAGCAAACAGGAUUAGAUACCCGGGUAGUCC
Molecule: ribosomal RNA, 274 nt
Filed under: uncultured bacterium
Lineage: Bacteria
Description: partial 16S ribosomal RNA
Rfam family: Bacterial small subunit ribosomal RNA
Source: RNAcentral